This is a non-coding RNA of Misgurnus anguillicaudatus (oriental weatherfish), 2736 nucleotides long. Lineage: Eukaryota; Metazoa; Chordata; Actinopteri; Cypriniformes; Cobitidae. The record is from RefSeq and is a predicted model, not a curated record.
CAAGUUGCUAGGGGCUACGGUUAGUCUGUCUUCGGGGUUUCAUCCUCAAACCAAUGGUCAAACCGAGCGAGCCAAUCAGGAUGUGGAAAGAGUGUUGCGAUGUUUGGUCUCCAAGAAUCCUUCCUCCUGGAGCCAACAACUCUCUAUGGUGGAGUACACGCACAAUUCAUUACCAGUGUCAGCUACGGGCCUAUCUCCGUUUAAGUGUAGUUUAGGGUACCAACCACCAUUAUUUCCCAGUCUGGAGUCCGAGAUCGCGGUCCCCUCCGCACACGCUUUCGUCCAGAGGUGUCGUCGCACUUGGAGUAGGGCACGUGAGGUCAUACUCCAAGUGAGACAGCGCACCAAGGCCGAUCGCCACCGGUCAAAGCCUCCCGUUUACGUCGUGGGUCAAAAAGUGUGGCUUUCUACUCAGAAUAUUCCGAUGCGUUCCGUCUCGAAUAAGUUGACUCCCAAAUUUAUAGGUCCAUUUUCUGUUGCUAAAAUCAUUAAUCCAGUAACAGUCCGCCUUAACCUCCCUCCUGUGUACAGACGAAUUCAUCCGGUGUUCCACAUUUCCAAAAUCAAACCCGUGUUUAAAUCUCGUCUUAAUCCGCCUGUCCCGGUUCCCCCCCCGCCUCGUAUCGUAGAUGGGGAACCAACCUAUUCGAUCAAUCGUAUUCUGGACUCUAGACGGAGGGGGCGCGGAUUUCAGUACUUGGUGGAUUGGGAAGGUUACGGUCCGGAGGAGAGAAGUUGGGUUCCGGCUCGGGACAUAUUGGAUCACUCCCUUAUUGAUGAUUUCCAUCGCAGGUCAAGGAGCCCGGGAACGUCAGGUGACGUCCGUGGGGGAGGGGGUACUGUCACGGUAGGAUAAGUCCACCGUGACUUUCUGUGUUGUGUCUGUCUGUAUGAUUGAAGUGUGUGUGUGCGUGUCUGAUCGCUAAUGAUCUGAGUGAGUGCAGGUGUGCGUGAUUGCUUUGCUCCAGCUGGUGGUAGUUACCCAUACGGCAUAUAUACUCACUCAUUCUCUCCUCUCACUGCCAGAUGAUUAUACUACGUUGUCUACCCGUGUUAUCGUGUCGUGUGUUCCUGUGGUCUCGUUUUCGCUGUGGAGUUCUGCCUGUCUAUGUAUCCGGUUUCAUCCGUCAGUCUGACUUCAUUCACGAGCACUUGGAUCCGUCACCGCAGCCUUUGUCUGUCCAACUUACCAACAUAUCAUCUGUGUCAUCUGUCAUAUCAUCUGAGUCAUCUGUUUAAUAAACCUGUUUUCAUUUAUCUUGCAUUUGCUUCCUGAUUUUUCAAACCAGUCAUCACACGGCUUCCUUUGUUUUUUCCACGAAUAAAAGCUGAAAAAACGUAUUCCGUUGUUCAGUUUCCUCCCUGAACGAUCGCGUGACCUGCUUGAUCGAGCAGUACUGACCAAACAUAUCGAAGUUUAUUAAAAUCUCGACAGAAAAUACAAAAACAACCUCCAACACAUGAACUCAAAUACAGCGGGAUAGGACGCGUGCCUGCAAAUAUGGCGGAUUAUCCAUAUUGCAACACCGCGUGACGUCAACUCCACAUUCCCUAUUCUAAUGGUUUAGAAAUUCAGUUUAAAACAGAUAACGUUAAUAUGAGGAAGAAACGUGUACGUUUUAAAUAAAUAAUCGUUUGUUGUAAAAGUUGAAAUCAAACUGAUGCUUUUAAUAUCAUGUUUAGAUCAUGAAACUUUAGCCUUGAGUUCACAGACAGGGUAUCAAAACACAUAUUGUGAACUCUCAUUUGGGUGUAAGUUACAGACAUUUUUGUCUUUUUGAAAAGUUUUUGAUGAUGCCCACUUAAAUCACAGUUUUGGCUUUUUUCCACAGACUCUGAUGGAUAAAAGAUGGAUAUUUUUUCCUGGAGAAGCUAAAACAAUGUAACUUUGAGGUUCUGAUACCAGCUUUUACAACGUUAUUUACAGAGUUCACAAGACUCUGUGUUAUUCCCUGAACAUGCCAAAAAGCUAUUUGAAACUUGGGCACUGCAUUUUACAGACAGAAUCCUGCAACUUCCCAGCCAAGAACCAGGAGCAUCAACAAAUCACCUCCAGAACCCCAUGAUGAUAUUCCAACUCCUGUCUACAAAAGUGGGAAGAAAAUCUUAAGUCUAUGUUGGGACCAACAUGGUUGCAUUCUUCUGAGAGGCUGAGGUGACAAAACCAUUCCCAUUUGUCCUUGGAUUGGAAGAUGACGAUCUCUGCCAUCAAGCCUUCGUUGUUUUUGACAGACAGUCACUCCAGCAAUACACCCUCCUUGGUGAUGUUGACAUGUUUUAAAAAAAAAAUUAUGUUUUGGACAUUCAUUUACUAAGCAGUGCACAUCAGUGUGGGUGUUUUUGAAGACUGUUGUUUACAAACUCCCAAGAACGGAAUCCCUUUCUAUAAGAAGUCUGUGUAGUUAUUUGUCAUGCUAAGGCGAUAACUCAUGUUGAUCAUAUAUUGACUGUUUGUGCAACUUUGUGUUGAUCUUAUGUGUUACAUUAACCAUUUCUUAUUACACGGUUCUCUAAAAUGCUAGUUUCUGAUUGGCCAGUCGUGACAUUCUACUACUGCUCAAAACUAAAAACUCCAAUGCUGCAAAUCAUUUUGACAGGUACAGUUUUAUAUUACACAAAAAUUAAAUAUCGAUGUCUAUUAAUUACAUAUCCGACAUUAAAUUUACAAAUGAUUAAACCAAUGUGUUCGUGACAUUUGUCCUGAAGAAACUGUUGGGGCUUUUUUCUGUGAUGACA